Molecule: ribosomal RNA, 869 nt
Filed under: uncultured archaeon
Lineage: Archaea
Description: bacterial SSU rRNA
Rfam family: Archaeal small subunit ribosomal RNA
Source: RNAcentral
CUCCGGUUGAUCCUGCCGGACCCGACUGCUAUCAGAGUGAGAUUAAGCCAUGCGAGUUAACGUAGCAAUACGUGGCGCACGGCUCAGUAACACGUAGUCAACAUGCCCAGAGGACGUGGAUAACCUCGGGAAACUGAGUCUAAACCGCGAUAAGUGAGGAUUUCUGGAAUGGUUCCUGACUAAAAUCUAUAUGGCCUCUGGAUUGGACUGCGGCCGAUCAGGCUGUUGGUGAGGUAAUGGCCCACCAAACCUGUAACCGGUACGGGCUCUGAGAGGAGGAGCCCGGAGAUGGGCACUGAGACAAGGGCCCAGGCCCUAUGGGGCGCAGCAGGCGCGAAACCUCUGCAAUAGGCGAAAGCCUGACAGGGUUACUCUGAGUGACUUUCGCUAAGAAAGUCUUUUGGCACCUCUAAAAAGGGUGCAGAAUAAGGGGUGGGCAAGUCUGGUGUCAGCCGCCGCGGUAAUACCAGCACCCCGAGUGGUCGGGACGAUUAUUGGGCCUAAAGCAUCCGUAGCCGGUUCUGCAAGUCCCCCGUUAAAUCCAGCUGCUCAACAGAUGGGCCGCGGAGGAUACUACAGAGCUAGGAGGCAGGAGAGGCAAGCGGUACUCAGUGGGUAGGGGUAAAAUCCGUUGAUCCAUUGAAGACCACCAGUGGCGAAGGCGGCUUGCCAGAAUGCGCUCGACGGUGAGGGAUGAAAGCUGGGGGAGCAAACCGGAUUAGAUACCCGGGUAGUCCCAGCCGUAAACGAUGCAGACUCGGUGAUGGGUUGGCUUCGCGCUAACCCAGUGCCGCAGGGAAGCCGUUAAGUCUGCCGCCUGGGUAGUACGGUCGCAAGACUGAAACUUAAAGGAAUUGGGCGGGGGAGCC